CUUUGGUGGGAAAAUGAAUUUGUGGCAGGGCUGCGAUGGAGCUGCGAUAGGCCUGCCAGUCCUUCCACAGCGCGCUAUGGAAACUCAUCGACAAAGAGGACAGCUGGUGCCAGCGGGAGAAUGCUGCGGCGAAUCGGAAAGCAGCCAGGCCCUGGGGAAGUGGAUUCACCCACUCAGGAGCUGGCAGAGGAGCCUUCUGGGGGCCCAGAGGCUGGGUGGGCACCUUGCUGCAUGGGUGUGAGUCUGGGGCUCUGACACCGCCCCAGAGGGGUGUGGGUGGAACGUGCAGUCCCUCACUGUCCGAGCGUGUGAACACUCAGGUGCAACAACUCUGAAGUUAGGAGGAAUGGAGAACAGGACAGGACUGGACUG
RNAcentral lists this long non-coding RNA (372 nucleotides) under Chinchilla lanigera (long-tailed chinchilla). Its description in RNAcentral is "lncRNA (ENSCLAG00000025377.1)". Lineage: Eukaryota; Metazoa; Chordata; Mammalia; Rodentia; Chinchillidae. The record is from RNAcentral.